CCUACGGGAGGCAGCAGUGAGGAAUAUUGGUCAAUGGCCGCAGGGCUGAACCAGCCAAGUCGCGUGAGGGAUGACGGUCCUAUGGAUUGUAAACCUCUUUUGUCAGGGAGCAAAGGGCGCCACGUGUGGCGCUUUGCGAGUACCUGAAGAAAAAGCAUCGGCUAACUCCGUGCCAGCAGCCGCGGUAAU
This 189-nucleotide ribosomal RNA is filed under the name uncultured bacterium. RNAcentral describes it as "partial 16S ribosomal RNA". It matches the Rfam family "Bacterial small subunit ribosomal RNA", at positions 338 to 524 of the family's 1533-position model. The record is from RNAcentral.